RNAcentral lists this ribosomal RNA (6899 nucleotides) under Triticum aestivum (bread wheat). RNAcentral's name for it is "partial small subunit ribosomal RNA". Lineage: Eukaryota; Viridiplantae; Streptophyta; Magnoliopsida; Poales; Poaceae. The record is from RNAcentral.
GCGGAGGCACUGGGUAGGUAGGUCGUCGCGGUGGUUGAGGCGGUGGAGUGGUGCCUUGUGAUGUCGCGGAGGUAUAAGUGAUACGGUAGGUAGGCGGUAGUGGUCGCGGUCUAGCGAGUUCGGUGGUCUACCGGACAGACUAGGCGGCGCGCUGGUUGUGGAGUGUGGGUGCGACGAUGGAGAGGAGGUACCAGGAUGACGACGAGGAGAGAGGGAUCGCGGUGGUAUGACAACGAAAGAGGGUACGGGGACGACGACGAGGAGAGAGACGAAGAGGAUGAGACGAAGGGGAUUUCGACAACGACGAGAAGUAGAGGGCGCGGGGGACGACGAGAAGGAACGGCUUCGAGAAGAAACUUGGAGAGGAGGAGGGUUGCAGGGGGACGACGAGGAAGGGAAAUGUAGGACGAAGGCGAGGGGUUGAAGAGAACGACGAGGAAGAGAGACAUGGAGAUGACGACGACGAAGAAGUGGAUGGAACGACGAAGGGACGAAGAAGACUUAGUGAAAGAGGAAGAGGUUGUGAACGAUGACAAGAGAGAGGGAGAGACUUUAAAGAUACAUAAUCUACACUCACCCAAGGACACUUUAAGCCUGAACAGGAACAGACCUACAUAAGACAACUAAACGUUCUUGAUCUUGUUAAAAACACGCACAUGUACACACACACACACACACUUUAAAUACACUUGUAAAUCUUACUUCUGAACUAUUAACCAUUAGACAAAAUGAUAAAGUUAUAUACACUUAAAAGACAGUCAAUCAAAGGGUACUAUAAGACUAAUGGAUAACACUAGUUAAACACAACAAACACGAGAGACAGUUCACUCAACAAACUUGUAGAAAUUAAGAAUCAGGGACACAAUCGAUACAUGCACACUUAUAUAUAUACGAACACUACACUUCAUGAAGACCAGUACAGGGAACUAGAAUUAAUAAGAGAAAGUAUGAUCAACAACUUGUAAAUACACAACCACAGAACAUCAAAAGGAACAAAGAGUACAGACGGACACGACCAUAAAAUCAAGGGUUUCAUUUUUUUUAUUUUGUGGUUUUUAUAUAACUCAUGUAAAAUAAACAGUUACUAAAAGAGCUUGUUUGAACGAAAUGAAAACAAAAAGAACGUUAUAGUUUUUGGAAAAACAGACUAGAUCGAAAUCGGCUCGUGCUGACAGCAGCGGAUCAGGGGCACCUCUUGUGCUGUGAGCAUCAAACCCGCAUUUUUGGGGUGAUGUGAAUGUUAACUAGUAAAACCACGGCAACGGCCCCUGAUCGCAGCUCAUUGGCACAAUCCGAUAUCUGAUCCAAAAAGAAGGAAAAGAUCAAACACGGUAUAUAAACACUAUAUAAAGAUUGGUGAUUGGGGACAAGAUCAAUCAUAAAAACAAACAAACAAAAGAAAAGGAAAAACGUCCAAUCUUGGUAGAAGAGCCUAUACCGAAUGAUAAGUCUAGUAGUACGAAUACGCUCGUUGUGAUGUUUGUUGUGCCUUUCAUAAGUUCUUGACUAUUCAUUCAAAAGGGUAGUUAAUUUACUAAAUCGAGUCGUCACUCUUCAUCAAAAACUCCUAUCCGGAUCGAGAAUACUAGGAACAAGAUCUCCGGUAGGAAUACAACGAGGAUGAACGGUAUAAACACCUAAAGUUCCGGUAAACGGGCGACUUACAGUCGCACCAAUGAGAGUGUGGGGUCUAACAAAACCGUACUCGAAGCGAGUUCUCGUAUCGAGUAUGGUUUUGUUAAUGAGUGUACCCACCGGACUUUUGGGCUUAUACAGUAUAUCCUCGUUGUUGGGACUCUAGAGUGGCGAACGAAGAUCAUUAGUAUACGUCCCUAAAUCCAUACUUCUCCUCUUGGUGUUGAUACAACAACCUUUAUACGGGAUCUCCGUUAUUAUUUACCUAAUAAUAAUAUAAAGGAACAAGUACUAUUAACAGAAAAUAAGUACGAUAUUAACAUAAUAGGCCUUUAGCAUUAUGUGCACACUUAUGUAUCUGGUGUUAUGCAGGGAUCAUUCGGAGAUCAACUGAUCGAGCAAGCAGUUGUCUAUCAGUACCAAAGGACUGAUACCUGUAAUCUACAGCAACUGUUGCCCUAGUGUAGUAAUCCUCUUACUACACUACCUGUUCUGGGUUAGGAUUCGUAUCGUGUUCUAGCACAUCAAGCAAAACGAUCUCGAAAAGGUUACAGUUCAUAGAGAAGGAAUCUGGUACUCUAGCACAUUGAGGGCCUAUGGUAUCCUAACGAAACCCACAUGGUUUGCAGUGUUGCAUUGACCCACUGAUAUUUCCACGUGAUGUCCAUAGAGGCUUUCACAGACAACCCAACUGUGCCUAGCUCUGAUCCUAAACAGUGAGGCAUACUGCCUCUCCAUAGAGACCCGGGUGAGCCAUUACGUAGUAGUAUUACUCGAGUUUCACUGGUUCACAAACCAGUGCCCUAGUACGUAAUGCCAUGCUCAUUUCACUGAACGGCCAUUACUCUGACUUGCUCCAUAACCCUAUGGCUGCUAGCUCAGAGCCCGAACAUUGCAUGGCUAACUGUUUCCCUUAUCAUAUGCCCCAACGAACUUAGGAGCUGUAGCACCAAGUAGGCUACUGUAGUAGCUCCUCGUACACCCUCGGUUGUACCCAUAGGUCUAGGGCGACAACCAAUAACUGGACUCUCGGCAGAGCCAGUACAAACGCACAGAGGGCUUGAGCAUCCCAGAUGUGUGAAUUCCAAGCCACUGCGAUCCCAAUAAUCCUUCUGAACAUACACUAAUGGCUUACAACAAGCCUCAGGGCCUAAUCUAGGGCCUGCAGUGUUCCUCAAGGCCUUCCCAGACCUCCAUUUCUAAAUAUAUACCCUUCAACAGUACGCCUGUGGCCUUUCAAAGCCCCCGUAUAGCCAUAACAUGGCCCCGGUGGCCUCCCCAAGGCCCCCAGGUGGCCCUCCCCGGUGGGGAGAACCACCCGGUGUACCCGGUGCACCCCGUCCCGUGGUCGGGGACCUCCCGACCCGCGGGGGGGGGGAACCCGGGUACGCGGAUCCCAACUCCCCCUUGGGAUUCCCCCGCGUGGCGGAACGAACCCCCCGUUCGGGGGAGGAACCGACGGCGGGGGGGAGAUCUAGAGUAGAUCUCCCCCGGCCGGGGGAAGGGGGAAGGGGAUAUUUAUCUCCCCGCUACCCUCCCGACUUGUGGACUAGGUUCCGCGUCGGGGAGGGGAGGGGUUGUGGAGAGGAGGAGGCAACUCACGAACCGCUUCGGGACAGCCUCAUGACGGAGAGGUGGUAGUAGUUCGGCAGCACGACGACGACCUCGGAAGAAGGAGUUGGAGAGGAAGAGGGAACGACCUAGUUCUUCCUCCUCUGCAACAGACAUGGCAUGCACACAACUUGCGCCUCCACGACAGGCAAGUCGUGAACCAGUAGCCACUAGACUUAGUGCUGCUCAUGCUGAGGUAGUAGUGGCAAGGGAGCUUGCGAAGGCAUGCGCUAGAUGUUCACCUCUACAACGGUUACCUCAAUUUACCAGGAGGUAAACCAGUUGGUUGUUGAGGUCGUUGACGAUUCGUUAGAGUACACGUUCACGGGGUUUUCUACUUAAACUACUAUAUCUGUUCGAGUGUAACGAAUCAGAGUUCAAGUGAACCUCACAACUCCUACUAGGUUAAUCCGGCUACUAUGAUCUACUUUACUUCUUAUAGUUCUCACCUUUUCUCGAUCACCUACUUCAUUCCUUCUAACUCUUCUUGUAGUUGUGACCAUCAUGAUAGAGUAGAGAGGAACUCGACUCACGACGACUCUAAAGAUCAGUAUGUACACUCCAAGGUUGUGGCAGUGUAAAUCGACUCGUUCUAUCGCUCUCGGGUCUCCUUCUCUAUGGAGUCUAACUUCUACAUGAGCUUCGGUUCCGUGUUCUACUAGGUCUCGAGCUUGUUGUUUCACUAGUUCAACUUCUGAGCAGUAGAUGAUGAGGACUUCUUCAUGUUCUUCUACUACAUCUACUUCUACUUCUUGGACUCUGCGUAAACGGGUAGCAGUAUGUCCUCGCACUAAAUCGUCCAAAUAGGUUAGGAGAACUACUGUACGAAGGAAUACUCUAGAAACGACCAUGAAAGGUAACACAAUAUGGUAGUUAAUUCGAUCUGAACUUUUUAAUAAACGAACCUGUACUAGUAUGUAUGUAACAACCACCGUAACGAGAGUAAGGACUACUACUGUGAAUGAUAAGGGUACGAUCAGAACUCGAAUUACUAUUUAAAGUAGGAGUACAAUCACAGCUGGAACGACUAAAGAUAGUAGGAUUUGUACACGAAAUAUCGAUACGAAUACAUUAACCUAUAAGCUAACUACUGAACCUCCCAUAAUAGGGAUGGUGAACGUAACAGAGAAAACAACUCUCACGAAAAUCCAAAAACGAACACGUGCUAGGUAAUGUACGACUGGUCCAAACUCCACUGUAAGGAACCCUGGGACCACCUGAGUUUCGUACCCCUACUCCUCUUCGUUCCCCCGUGUGUGCUCCUUCCCUCUUCGACCUCGUCCGUACUCCUAUCUCUUCGUUUUCCUCUCCGCGACGUCAACCACUCCACUAGCUCUCUCACGAUGUAGUAGUUUCGGGCCACUCGACAAAGUACUGGGUGAGGCUCAUAUAGUAGGUAACUAUGUACGACUUUAGUUUACAAUAAACCCAACGAACUCAGUAAAGAAUUUAUGGCAGGGUGACUUAGAAUGGAAGCUGUAUCCCACUAACUACACUUAUACACUUGACUCACAACUUACGGAACAUUUGAUCACUAGAUAUGUUACGAACGAAACGACUUUAACCACUUUCGAUAAUCAAAACUCACGAGUUUAGGGAUCAUGUGAUCUUUUGAAUUAGUAAAAGACGAAAAUGGAGCUAUGUGGAUCUAGUGGUGCAAAUCUACGACUUAAACACGGUUCACAGUAGGGUAACUCUCGUUAAUGGAUUGGUGAUACCUAAUCGUACGAUACAAGGGACCUAGCCAUCGUACACUUGGUCUGUACCUCUUCACUACUAAGGACAAAAACAAGAAUACGCAACAAGUAAAUUCUAUUCAUUAUUACAUAUUUAUUCAGACCGAUGGAUGUCAUCGUACAGUACAAGGGCCCUAGCCACCGUACACUUUAGCCCAAUCGAACCCGUCAUUAAUUAUUAUUAUUAUUACAUUAACAGCUUGGUCCACAUAUGGUACAAGAGCCCUAGCCACCAUACAAGGAAACCCCUCUGUUUGUUUGAAUUUUUUGAUUAUUAACCAGCUCGGUCCACAUAUGGUACAAGAGCCCUAGCCACCAUACAAGGAAACCACUCUGACUAUUUUAUAAUAGUAAUGAAGGAAGUUUAAAUUAUUCACCAAGUUGGUGUAACAAUAUAAAGACGUUUAUUCACUAAAUUAAGUUCAAGGAAAACAAGAGUCCUAGUACGAGAGAAAUCCUUGGAAAACCGUGUCAGUCGUAAACUUGAACGAUUAGAAGUAAAUAGUAACGUUUUCAAAUUUUAACGGCUCAAAUUAUCACAGGAUAACUAUACAUCGUGAGAAUUGGUAAUUAAAAGUGAUCGGUUCAGGUUUCGUACGUAACAAACCUCUAGAUGAAGUGAACCUGUAAGAGUUCAGUCGAGUGAUAAGUGAUAGGACAAGAACAGUAUAAGGAAACGAACUCCUGUUCGUUUCUAAAUUCAUACCCCCUUGAACUAUUCUCGUAAAGGAUAAGUAUUAAACCGUGUGUUUAAAUCGUAAAUGACACUAGACUGGUAGUUAAAAACCAUACUUGACAACGUAUAAACUUGCUUUUAGCACAUUUUCCUAGUAAAUGAACAAUGAACAAAGGAAACGUCUUUUCACGUGUUUCCGUGAUAGUUGGCUUUUCUUUCCUCCCAGGACUCAACUAUCGUCUAAUUUCGAAGUUCCCCCGUUCGAGUUCUACCCUCCUGGUUGAACCCUUCUUUCUUCCCUUCAUCCUCCCGUUUUAACGUUUCACCGUCUAGACUAGCUCUCCCCAGUUUAGGGAUCGGUAGAGGAAGCUAGGGGACCCCCGGACCAAUGUGUAGGGAGAGAGGAGUAGGGAGGAAGAGGUGGAGGCCGGCGGCGGUGCCGGUCCGGCCACACCAACACGCGGAGGCGCUGGGUAGGUAGGUCGUCGCGGUGGUUGAGGUGGUGGAGUGGUGGCUUGUGAUGUCGCGGAGGUAGAAGUGACGCGGUAGGUAGGUGGGAGUGGUCGCGAUCUAGCGCGUUCGGUGGUCUACCGGACAGACUAGGCGGCGCGCUGGUUGUGGAGUGUGGGUGCGACGAUGGAGAGGAGGUACCAGGACGACGACGAGGAGAGAGGGAUCGCGGUGGUAUGACGACGAAAGAGGGUGCGGGGACGACGACGAGGAGAGAGAUGAAGAGGAUGAGAGGAAGGGGAUUUCAACAACGACGAGAAGUAGAGGACGCGGAGGAUGACGAGAAGGAACGGCUUCGAUAAGAGACUUGGAGAGGAGGAGGGUUACAGGGGGACGACGAGGAAGGGGAAGUGAAGGACGACGGCGAGGGGUUGAAGAGAACGACGAGGAAGAGAGACAUGGAGACGACGACGACGAAGAAGCGGAUGGAGCGACGAAGGGACGAAGAAGACUUAGUGAAAGAGGAAGAGGUUGUGAACGAUGACAAGAGAGAGGGAGAGACUUUAAAGAUACAUAAUAGACACUCACCCAAGGACACUUUAAGUCUGAACAGGAACAGACCUACAUAAGAUAACUAAACGUUCUUGAUCUUGUUAAAAACACGCACAUGUACACACACACACACACAUUAAAGACACUUGUAAAUCUUACUUCUGAACUAUUAACCAUUAGUCAAAAUGAUAAAGUUAUAUACACUUAAAAGACAGUCAAUCAAAGGGUACUAUAAGACU